AUUGAACGCUGGCGGCGUGCUUAACACAUGCAAGUCGAACGGUAAGGCCCUUCGGGGUACACGAGUGGCGAACGGGUGAGUAACACGUGGGUGAUCUGCCCUGCACCUCGGGAUAAGCCUGGGAAACUGGGUCUAAUACCGGAUAGGACCACUGCCUGCAUGGGUGGGGGUGGAAAGCUUUUGCGGUGUGGGAUGAGCCCGCGGCCUAUCAGCUUGUUGGUGGGGUGAUGGCCUACCAAGGCGACGACGGGUAGCCGGCCUGAGAGGGUGACCGGCCACACUGGGACUGAGAUACGGCCCAGGCGCCUACGGGAGGCAGAAGUGGGGAAUAUUGCACAAUGGGCGCAAGCCUGAUGCAGCGACGCCGCGUGAGGGAUGACGGCCUUCGGGUUGUAAACCUCUUUCAGCACCGACGAAGCGCAAGUGACGGUAGGUGCAGAAGAAGGACCGGCCAACUACGUGCCAGCCGCCGCGGUAA
Molecule: ribosomal RNA, 478 nt
Filed under: uncultured bacterium
Lineage: Bacteria
Description: partial 16S ribosomal RNA
Rfam family: Bacterial small subunit ribosomal RNA
Source: RNAcentral